GAUGAAGAACGUAGCGAAAUGCGAUAAGUAAUGUGAAUUACAGAAUUCAGUGAAUCAUCGAAUCUUUGAACGCACCUUGCACCCUUUGGACUGCUCCAAAGGGUAUGCUCGUUUGAGUGUCAUUGUACUCUCACACUCUCUGAUCCUUUGGAUUUGGGGAGCAGUGGACUUGGGUGCUUGCUGCUUCCUUGUGGCUCACCUGAAAUGCAUCAGUGCAUCUCUCGAUUGGACAUAGUACGGCGUGAUAAGUGUCUUCGCCGGCACCUCAUAUGAGGGUGGCCGAUCGGGAGCUCUGUGCUUUCAAACCGUCUUCGGACAACGCUGACAACUUGACCUCAAAUCGAGUAGGACUACCCGCUGAACUUAAGCAUAUCAAUAAGCGGAGGA
This 387-nucleotide unclassified non-coding RNA is filed under the name soil metagenome. Its description in RNAcentral is "partial contains 5.8S ribosomal RNA, internal transcribed spacer 2, and large subunit ribosomal RNA". The stretch from base 1 to 122 matches the Rfam family "5.8S ribosomal RNA", at positions 35 to 154 of the family's 154-position model. The record is from RNAcentral.